GAUGAACGCUGGCGGCGUGCUUAACACAUGCAAGUCGAACGAUUAAAGCCCCUUCGGGGGUGUAUAGAGUGGCGAACGGGUGAGUAACACGUGGGCAAUCUGCCCCUCACUUCGGGAUAACUCAGGGAAACUUGAGCUAAUACCGGAUACUCCGGGAAGGUCGCAUGGCCAACCCGGGAAAGCUCCGACGGUGAGGGAUGAGCCCGCGGCCCAUUAGCUUGUUGGUGAGGUAACGGCUCACCAAGGCGACGAUGGGUAGCCGAGCUGAGAGGCUGAUCGGCCACACUGGGACUGAGACACGGCCCAGACUCCUACGGGAGGCAG
This 324-nucleotide ribosomal RNA is filed under the name uncultured Actinomycetes bacterium. Its description in RNAcentral is "bacterial SSU rRNA". It matches the Rfam family "Bacterial small subunit ribosomal RNA", at positions 28 to 351 of the family's 1533-position model. Lineage: Bacteria; Bacillati; Actinomycetota; Actinomycetes. The record is from RNAcentral.